UACGUAGGGUGCAAGCGUUAAUCGGAAUUACUGGGCGUAAAGCGUGCGCAGGCGGUUCUAUAAGACAGAUGUGAAAUCCCCGGGCUCAACCUGGGAACUGCAUUUGUGACUGUAGAGCUGGAGUGCGGCAGAGGGGGAUGGAAUUCCGCGUGUAGCAGUGAAAUGCGUAGAUAUGCGGAGGAACACCGAUGGCGAAGGCAAUCCCCUGGGCCUGCACUGACGCUCAUGCACGAAAGCGUGGGGAGCGAACGGG
RNAcentral lists this ribosomal RNA (253 nucleotides) under uncultured bacterium. RNAcentral's name for it is "partial 16S ribosomal RNA". It matches the Rfam family "Bacterial small subunit ribosomal RNA", at positions 524 to 776 of the family's 1533-position model. The record is from RNAcentral.